RNAcentral lists this ribosomal RNA (374 nucleotides) under uncultured organism. Its description in RNAcentral is "partial 16S ribosomal RNA". It matches the Rfam family "Bacterial small subunit ribosomal RNA", at positions 527 to 896 of the family's 1533-position model. The record is from RNAcentral.
GUAGGUGGCAAGCGUUGUCCGGAAUUAUUGGGCGUAAAGCGCGCGCAGGCGGUUCUUUAAGUCUGAUGUGAAAUCCCACGGCUCAACCGUGGAGGGUCAUUGGAAACUGGAGAACUUGAGUACAGAAGAGGAAAGCGGAAUUCCACGUGUAGCGGUGAAAUGCGUAGAGAUGUGGAGGAACACCAGUGGCGAAGGCGGCUUUCUGGUCUGUAACUGACGCUGAGGCGCGAAAGCGUGGGGAGCAAACAGGAUUAGAUACCCUGGUAGUCCACGCCGUAAACGAUGAGUGCUAAGUGUUAGGGGGGUUUUCCGCCCCCCUUAGUGCUGCAGCUAACGCAUUAAGCACUCCGCCUGGGAGUACGGCCGCAAGGCUG